RNAcentral lists this ribosomal RNA (515 nucleotides) under uncultured bacterium. RNAcentral's name for it is "partial 16S ribosomal RNA". It matches the Rfam family "Bacterial small subunit ribosomal RNA", at positions 28 to 523 of the family's 1533-position model. The record is from RNAcentral.
GAUGGACGCUGGCGGCGUGCCUAAUACAUGCAAGUCGAGCGAAUGGAUUAAGAGCUUGCUCUUAUGAAGUUAGCGGCGGACGGGUGAGUAACACGUGGGUAACCUGCCCAUAAGACUGGGAUAACUCCGGGAAACCGGGGCUAAUACCGGAUAACAUUUUGAACCGCAUGGUUCGAAAUUGAAAGGCGGCUUCGGCUGUCACUUAUGGAUGGACCCGCGUCGCAUUAGCUAGUUGGUGAGGUAACGGCUCACCAAGGCAACGAUGCGUAGCCGACCUGAGAGGGUGAUCGGCCACACUGGGACUGAGACCCGGCCCAGACUCCUACGGGAGGCAGCAGUAGGGAAUCUUCCGCAAUGGACGAAAGUCUGACGAAGCAACGCCGCGUGAGUGAUGAAGGCUUUCGGGUCGUAAAACUCUGUUGUUAGGGAAGAACAAGUGCUAGUUGAAUAAGCUGGCACCUUGACGGUACCUAACCAGAAAGCCACGGCUAACUACGUGCCAGCCGCCGCAGUAA